This is a long non-coding RNA of Sapajus apella (tufted capuchin), 2269 nucleotides long. RefSeq lists it as uncharacterized. The transcript has 2 exons. The record is from RefSeq and is a predicted model, not a curated record. Lineage: Eukaryota; Metazoa; Chordata; Mammalia; Primates; Cebidae.
GAGCAAGACCCUGUCUCAAAAAAAAAAAAAGAGAAAUGAAUGUAUUUGAUGGGGUUAGCAUAACAUAAUGAAUUAUAGUAAGUCUCUAAUACUUCAUUCUAUUAACAGUGUUUUUAUCUGAAAUAUUGCUCAUUCGGGAGUCUCAUCAGAACCCUAAAACCAUUAUAUAAUAGACAAUUAGGUUAUCCUACAAGUUAUCAACCAUUAGAUAAUGAACAAAACAGCUAUCUUAGCCAUAUUCUAGAAGAAUCUUUUUAUCCCACUUAAACAGUAUUAAUUUUCCUUGUUUUUUAAACACAUACCAGCUCUCUUCUCUGAGCUAUGUAUUUAACUUUGUGGCACAGGAUCCUUAACCCAAAUGUUUUCACUGAAUUUUCCACGUUGGCAUACCUUUUAAGAAAGAGGUCAGUUUGUUUACAAGUCAAGCGCUAAAUAAAAAAAUAAAAAUUAAAAAAAAAAAGAGAUCAGUUAAAAGGUGCCCAUUAAGAGGACCCAUGGAGGAAAUUGCUAUCUAGUCUUAAUUAUUAGAAUGCAGGAUUUGUUAUAUAGACAGUGAAGCAUAUAGCCAGUGGUAUUUAUCCAAUGGAUGUCAGAAUGCUUAGGAUCAGAUUUUUGACCCACUUUUAUCAAAUGCGAAAGACCUAUGACAUGCAUGUUAUGUAUUUCUAGUACUCAUAGUUUUAUCUUCUCUACCUUCAUUUUCCUCUAUUCAUAUCAUCAGCCGUUUUUUCAUAAUCAUCUUUUAAUGGGAAAAAAGUGAUACAAAAAUAAGGUUUUAAGAAAUUUUAAAAAUCAGCUCUUUGAUAUUUGAAAAAAUAUAUCCUAAGUAGUUAAUUGUGGAAGUGACGCAGACCAGUCUCUUUCUUGUUCACAUUGUCUUUGCUGUUUUGCCCAUCGAAGGUGCUCAAUACAUGUUGACUGUGCUACAUGGAGUUGCUGUAACAAUCUAAUUUUGAUGCUAUAGUUAUCUCUCAAAGAAAGGUGGGAGUACUGAAGUUACUCUCCUCACGUAAGGAAAUGGAUUCCUCUUUUUUUUCUGCUGCCCUCACCUGCCUUAAAUCUUCCUAUUUCCUUGCUACCUCAACCCCACCUGUGCCCUGGAUCACAUCGGGGUCACCACCUGCGGAAGUCUGACGUGCAGACCCUGACUCAACGACGGUUGAAUGAAUGCACUCUCAUACCAGAGUGUUUCAAGUGGACUAGCGAUUGCCGUUGGUUGCUUUUAGAGGGCGAAAUACAACCAAUCGACCCAGACCCUCUGACCUUUCACACUUUUAUCCUGUCAAGAUUUUAUAAAGAGAUUCUAAGUUAAUACACUUGUGGAUAAUUAAGAUGGUUAAGAGAAUGGUUUUACGACUGGUAAAAGCUUUAGGUUCUGGGGCCCAGAGUAAAUGCUGUUAUUAACAGUACUUCCCCUUUGAUCUUCCCGGGAUAGGGCCCCCCAGCACAAAAUUAACAUGAGUAAACAGAGCAGAGACAGAUGAGUGUGGGGGAAGGCCUUUGAUCAGUCUCUAUCUUUCCUAUGCUAAUAUGAGUGAGGCGGCUGCCUUGAACCUGCCUAAAUAAAACUUUACAGCCUUCCAAAAGGUUUGAGACUAUAAUCUGUAACUUUUCCUAAAUAUGUUCUGUAAUAUUUUGCCAACCACCCCAAGUGAAUAGCAACACCCACCUGAGUUAAAAUAUAGUUUGCAUCAGUCACAAGCCCCGUAAAUCCAUUAGCUCUGAGAGUUUCCUAUUUUAUGAACUUCUAAAUGGUGUUGAUUUUGCGUAAUUUUUACCUUAAUUACAGGUUUAUCACAAAGGAAAUAGAAAGUAUUGCAGACCAGGUUUGUAUUUUGGCAGCUCUUUAGGGAAUAGAUUUCUGGCUAGGAUUCACAAUAUUGAUGACAAAUGAUCUAUGAAAUCUGCAUGAUAAACAAGGACUAUUAAAGAUAAGGUUUUUUAAAAAUAGAUUUGAGGAUAAGAAAUAGGGAACAGUGAAAGAGAGGCAAGAUAUGGGCUAGACUUAAAUACAUAUAGCCUGUAAACAGGAACAAAUGGCAUAAAACAUUGAACCUCACAUCAAGAAACUGAGAGGUUUACAAAGCUUUGUUGUGGUAAACUUUAGAGAGGCAAAGUCUUGAAGGCUGGCAAGGGUCACCCCACAAAUAUGAGUUCUUCCUGAGGAUCUUACGAUAUUUACUAGAUUGGGUAGAUUGUUGGGUCUGGUUUUUUCCUUUUUUUUUUUUUUUUUUUUUUUUAAAGAAGUGCUGUAGGCUGGGUGUGGUGA